UACGGGGGGGGGCAAGCGUUGUUCGGAAUUACUGGGCGUAAAGGGCCAGUAGGCGGCCGGCUAAGUCCGACGUGAAAUCCCCAGGCUUAACCUGGGAACUGCGUCGGAUACUGGCUGGCUUGAAUUCGGGAGAGGGAUGCAGAAUUCCAGGUGUAGCGGUGAAAUGCGUAGAUAUCUGGAGGAAUACCGGGUGGCGAAGGCGGCAUCCUGGACCGACAUUGACGCUGAACGGCGAAAGCUAGGGGAGCAAACGGG
RNAcentral lists this ribosomal RNA (255 nucleotides) under uncultured bacterium. RNAcentral's name for it is "partial 16S ribosomal RNA". It matches the Rfam family "Bacterial small subunit ribosomal RNA", at positions 524 to 776 of the family's 1533-position model. The record is from RNAcentral.